Molecule: ribosomal RNA, 151 nt
Filed under: uncultured Alphaproteobacteria bacterium
Lineage: Bacteria; Pseudomonadati; Pseudomonadota; Alphaproteobacteria
Description: partial 16S ribosomal RNA
Rfam family: Bacterial small subunit ribosomal RNA
Source: RNAcentral
ACUCCUACGGGAGGCAGCAGUGGGGAAUAUUGGACAAUGGGGGCAACCCUGAUCCAGCCAUGCCGCGUGAGUGAAGAAGGCCUUAGGGUUGUAAAGCUCUUUCANCNGUGAAGAUAAUGACAGUACCCUAGAAGAAGCCCCGGCUAACUCC